Lacerta agilis (Sand lizard) is the source of this 570-nucleotide long non-coding RNA. RefSeq lists it as uncharacterized. The record is from RefSeq and is a predicted model, not a curated record. The transcript has 3 exons. Lineage: Eukaryota; Metazoa; Chordata; Lepidosauria; Squamata; Lacertidae.
UUUUAGGAUUCCUGAACGUGGGAACAUUUUCUGGAUUCUUGUGCAACAUUCUUUCUCCACUCUUGUGGGUGUGUGGAAGGAAGGAGCAGAUACGAAGGGUUUCCUUCAACUCACCUUUCCUGUCAGUGGUUACUACGUUGAUUGGAAUGGGUGUGUACACAGGGAAAUACACUCAGAGUACACCUCUGGAAUACCGUGGGUGGUCCUUCAUCUUGGCCUGGUGUAGCUUCUCCGUCUACCUUGUUGCUGCUUUCCUUCGGGUUUCUCCCAUGUUGUUUGGUCAGGGUUGUGUGGAUACACCCAUCUCCCAGAAGUCAUCUCCUCCAACUGAAGUAUCAGCAAUUACCAACGGUCACGACAACAAGAUUUGUAGUAAUGAGGCUGAUAAAAUAUCUUCUACGUAGACCCUUUUGGUUCAUAUAUAAAAUAAGUGGCCACCAGAUGGAAUAAAAGGAUUCAUUUUCCCAUUUUCCUUUCAGCACUAUUACAUUAUCGGUAAUUUUCUAAGCUAUAGCCAGCUUCCAUACAUUUCUAUACCACAGGUAUACUCCCAAACCCUGUAAAUUUCAA